RNAcentral lists this ribosomal RNA (475 nucleotides) under uncultured bacterium. RNAcentral describes it as "bacterial SSU rRNA". It matches the Rfam family "Bacterial small subunit ribosomal RNA", at positions 1019 to 1501 of the family's 1533-position model. The record is from RNAcentral.
UUCGGGAACCGUGAGACAGGUGCUGCAUGGCUGUCGUCAGCUCGUGUCGUGAGAUGUUGGGUUAAGUCCCGCAACGAGCGCAACCCCCAUCAUUAGUUGCCAUCAGGUAAAGCUGGGAACUCUAGUGAAACUGCCGUCGUAAGACGCGAGGAAGGAGGGGAUGAUGUCAAGUCAUCAUGGCCUUUAUGCCCAGGGCUACACACGUGCUACAAUGGGGAGGACAAAGGGCUGCCACUUGGCAACAAGGCGCUAAUCCCAAAAACCUCCUCUCAGUUCAGAUUGGAGUCUGCAACUCGACUCCAUGAAGCUGGAAUCGCUAGUAAUCGUAGAUCAGCAACGCUACGGUGAAUACGUUCCCGGACCUUGCACACACCGCCCGUCAAGCCAUGGAAGCCGGGUGUACCUAAAGUCGGUAACCGCAAGGAGCCGCCUAGGGUAAAACUGGUGACUGGGGCUAAGUCGUAACAAGGUAACC